CCACCCUAACACUGUGACCUCGAGCACAUUUAGAGGUCAUUUAUCAAAAGGAUUUAUGCUUGAAUAAUUUGACUUCAUUUAUAACCCCAGACUAUGUUUACUCUGUAAAACAGGAAGAACCCUCACGUUAUUUAAACAGUGGCACUAACUGUCGAAACAGACUGACUUAGAAGAGUUACAUUCCAGUCCUGAAUUACAAACUCAGUUCUAUACGUAUUCCAGAGAGUCAUAUGACGACGAUUCCAUCUCAAAAUGGCGAGCGCCGUAAAACGUGUUCUGCUGGAGGUGGACUACUGCCAAAGGGUCUAAUCAAAGAAUUUGCUCUUGAUUAGGACUACAGCUGAUUGAGACCAUUUUUCAGGCAGGAAAAUAAGCAUCGUUUGAGCCUGAAGCAAACUCAAAGCUGGCUAUAUGCCAUAUUCCUCUGCAACACAGUAGAAACUUCUCUAAAGCAACACAAAUGUAUGUUGCCUAAACCGGGAAGCACCAAACCCAAGAGUCAGGGUGGCUCAGGGACCCAUUUUGGAUGUAGCCAAAGCGAGCCAGGAGCUGUAACAUCACAGGAAGAGCACCCACUGCCAGCUCUGGCCUCAGGCUACUUCCAGGCUCAACAGGAGCUGCAGCCUUGCACCAGGCCAAUAUUCCAUAAGGAGCCCGAGACCCAGCGCUGCUGCCUCGCACAGUAACAAGAGGGUCAUCAGCACAUUGCCUCCAGGAGGGAGCAUCUCCUGGUUCCUGUUGACUUUUUGGCAGAACGCCACCUCUACUUUGGAAAAGGAAAAUACAGUACGGCACACCACACUCAAGAGGAGCAAACCCUGCUCUACACCAUCAACAAGUAACCAGGGUCCACCCAACAUCAACACCUAUUAAAGAAAACUGGAUUACUAGGAGAGAUUAGAGAAAUUGUAUCAAACUAAUCGGUCCCAGUGUUUUCUACAUUAAAAUGGAAUUCACAAAAAAACCCACAUCACAAAACAGCACAGAAAAACAUUAUCUAAAACUUUGCUGGCUACUCUUCCUGCACUCCCGCUUUCCACGCUUAGCAGCGUCAGAGACAGAGCCAUGACAGAAAGCCAACAAAAUAUGGUCUUCAGCAUUAUAGAUACAAUAUAGCGACAUAUUUCCAAGUCCUCUCUUUAAUCCAACGCUUUAGACAGUUUCUUCACCUAUUCCUGGGAUCUGAUGAAGACAGUUAUCUACAGGAAAGUAGACUGACUCCAAGAUAAAUGAGAAAAGCAGGAAACAAGCUAGUUAGUAAAGGUAAAUUCUCAGAUGACUCAGAGUUGAUGUCUGUAUGUUUUAAUUGUACACAAAAGCAUUUAAAUAUAUUCCAUGAUUGAAA
Molecule: long non-coding RNA, 1345 nt
Organism: Tyto alba (common barn owl)
Lineage: Eukaryota; Metazoa; Chordata; Aves; Strigiformes; Tytonidae
Exons: 2
Source: RefSeq, a predicted model, not a curated record